GAUGAACGCUGGCGGCGUGCCUAAUACAUGCAAGUCGAGCGAACAGAUGAGGAGCUUGCUCCUCUGACGUUAGCGGCGGACGGGUGAGUAACACGUGGAUAACCUACCUAUAAGACUGGGAUAACUUCGGGAAACCGGAGCUAAUACCGGAUAAUAUAUUGAACCGCAUGGUUCAAUAGUGAAAGACGGUUUUGCUGUCACUUAUAGAUGGAUCCGCGCCGCAUUAGCUAGUUGGUAAGGUAACGGCUUACCAAGGCAACGAUGCGUAGCCGACCUGAGAGGGUGAUCGGCCACACUGGAACGGGAACACGGUCCAGGCUCCUGCGGGAGGGAGCAGUAGGGAAUCUUACGCAAUGGGCGAAAGCUUGACGGAGCAAGGCCGCGUGAGUGAUGAAGGUCUUCGGAUCGUAAAACUCUGUUAUUAGGGAAGAACAAAUGUGUAAGUAACUAUGCACGUCUUGACGGUACCUAAUCAGAAAGCCACGGCUAACUACGUG
This 497-nucleotide ribosomal RNA is filed under the name uncultured bacterium. RNAcentral's name for it is "partial 16S ribosomal RNA". It matches the Rfam family "Bacterial small subunit ribosomal RNA", at positions 28 to 507 of the family's 1533-position model. The record is from RNAcentral.